AGUUACGAUGUAUCCGGAUACGUCGCUCGAUGCUCUGACAGUUAGUGGAAAUAUUUUCUUUGCUUCGGUUUAGUACGGAUAGACGUCGUUUCGAGUGUCGCGCGCGUCCACUUCGAUGAAACGUUGCCGGUGAAAAAUUGAAAAGCAACACGUUGUGGUCGAGCUUCGUGAAAAUAGUGGACAAAGAGGGGACGAUUGGCUAAUGACGAAAACGAUCAAGGAGAAGAACAAGACGGUGUGUUGAAAUAAUUUAAAACACGAAUUCUAAUCUUCUGCUAAGAAAGGAAAUGCAGAUCUAUGGAAAGGUCAUUAAGUUGAUAUCGACUUUAAUAACUCUGAUACGAUUAUUCUUUCGGUUUUAUUUAAUGAUAAAACGAUACACGAAAUACGUAUGUACGUAUAUGUCUGUACAAAGAGCUAUUGAAAGGGCUUGACGAAAUAUAUCAUUUUAUGCAUAAUGAACGACGGAAACGGAUCUGCUGAAACUGAACAAAC
Molecule: unclassified non-coding RNA, 495 nt
Filed under: Bombus terrestris (buff-tailed bumblebee)
Lineage: Eukaryota; Metazoa; Arthropoda; Insecta; Hymenoptera; Apidae
Description: misc RNA ENSBTSG00005038975.1
Source: RNAcentral